RNAcentral lists this long non-coding RNA (375 nucleotides) under Mytilus galloprovincialis (Mediterranean mussel). The record is from RNAcentral. Lineage: Eukaryota; Metazoa; Mollusca; Bivalvia; Mytilida; Mytilidae.
AUGUAUUAAGGCACUUAUCUUCAAAGUCUAUGUAUUUCAACUAAACAGGAUGCUAACUAAUCAAAUUUUAAAAUGUACAAAGUUGUAUUAGCUGUUGUUGAAGAAAACCAAGAGAUUUGAGGAAAAUCUCGCAAUAUUAGAUAUUUUCUUAUGAGACUUUCAAGUCUGGAUGUGUGUUUCUGAUACACUUAUAUAAUUUAUGACCUUUUCACCAUGCCAACUAUACUGUUUAAUAGUUUACUCUGUUUUAUCAUUUCUCCAAUAGCCAGAUGGGUCAAGUUUACAACUGAUGCAUUCUCAAAACUAAUGUUUCCAUUCAAUGUGUAAGUAUCACACUCUUUACUUGCAAUAAUGAAUGUAACAUGAAGAUGUACA